Molecule: long non-coding RNA, 200 nt
Filed under: Lathyrus oleraceus (garden pea)
Lineage: Eukaryota; Viridiplantae; Streptophyta; Magnoliopsida; Fabales; Fabaceae
Description: Pisum sativum (pea) long non-coding RNA (PSAT_LNC013635)
Source: RNAcentral
AAUCAAUUAAUGCCCUAGAAUAAUGUAAUUUUUCUACCAAAAAGGGUUGACAUUUCCUUAAUUGGUCAUUCUCAUCCAAAGCAGAAAAGCUAUUCCAAGGCAGACACCAAAAUGGCAAACAACUUUUUCUGAAAGACAGCACUUUUGACCCUUAAUCAGCUUGCUGAAUUCGCAGCCUUCGCGGCGCGAAGGCAGUUCGC